Molecule: ribosomal RNA, 1202 nt
Filed under: Rosellinia sp. ST2310
Lineage: Eukaryota; Fungi; Ascomycota; Sordariomycetes; Xylariales; Xylariaceae
Description: partial 18S ribosomal RNA
Rfam family: Eukaryotic small subunit ribosomal RNA (bases 1-1081)
Source: RNAcentral
UGAUCCUGCGGACGGGGAGAAGGUCCAAGAACAGGAUUCAACAAUAGCAGGAAGAGGAGGCCUAGACCCGGAGUUGANUAAGGCANGACACGAUAUAUAACACAAGGCGCUUAGCCAUGUCUGACAGAGAGAGGGAGCAGAGCUACACCGGACCAUGAGCAACUUGCGGAAGGUGAACCAUACGGAAGGACACUAAAGGUAAUAAGUCACUGGCUCAAGGGUAGGUCGAGCGAAGAGGAUGAGGAACCGGCCGAGUGGUAACCAUAAACUAUGAAUGCUAGAGAUGCGAAGAUCGUUAGUUCUUGACUCGUGAGGAACGUACGAGAAAAUAAAGUCUUUGGGCUCUUGGGCGAGUAUGUCUGAAGGCUGAAACAUAAUGAAGCGACAUAAGGCACGACCAGAAAGAGGAGCCAUGCUUAAUUGGAAUAGAGGGUGAACUAGCAGGUUCCGGAAGAAUGAGGGUAGACAAUGUAGAACGCCUUUUAGAAUUGAGGCGGGGUCCAAGGCGGGCUAAAGUGGGGAGAAAAAGGUUGGCUUAAUGGACCCUUAAAAAAUUUCCCGACGCCCCCCCCCGCCGUUGCCCCCUCCCGCCUUAUUUUGACCCCACCCGGGAACCUCCCCAGGUCCCAGCCCCAUUAGGAUUUCCCAGAUUGACAGCCUCUUUCCUCAUUUUUGUCCGCUGGUGGUGCCUCGCCCGUCUUACGUUGCUCCAUUGAUUUGUCUGCUUAAUUCCGAUGCCGACCGAAGACAUUUACCUGCUAAAUAGCCCGUAUUGCUUUGCCACGCUCGCUGCUUCUUAGAGGGCCUCUCCGCCUUCACCCGUUGCACCGUUCGAUCCACUACCAGGUCUGUGAUGCCCUUAGAUGUUCUGGCCCGCACGCGCGUUCCUACUGACAGAACGACAGCGCAGGUCCUUUCCUUAGUAGAGAUCCUUCGCGCGUAAUCUUGUUACCCUCUGUCGUGCUGGGCAUACAGCAUUGCAAUUAUUGCUCUUCACACGUAGCGCCUUCCUCAUGUCUACCGUAUAGUCAUUCCACUCUGCGCUCUGAUCUCCUGUCCCUGCCCUAUGUCGUGAUCAUCACCCGCCCGUCGCUCACUCCCUCCCUGAAUGAGCUCAGUCGUAGCGCUCUUCUGAGUCUCACUCCAGGACGGAGUCACGCAUACUGUCUACCUACAGUGGCCGUGACAACGCUCAUCCAACU